UACGUAGGGCGCAAGCGUUGUCCGGAAUUAUUGGGCGUAAAGAGCUCGUAGGCGGCCUGUUGCGUCCGCUGUGAAAUCCCGGGGCUCAACCCCGGGCGUGCAGUGGAUACGGGCUGGCUGGAGGCAGGCAGGGGAGAACGGAAUUCCUGGUGUAGCGGUGAAAUGCGCAGAUAAUCAGGAAGAACACCCGUGGCUAAGGCGGCUCUCUAGUACGGUACUGACGCUGAGACGCGAAAGCGUGGGGAGCGAACAGG
Molecule: ribosomal RNA, 254 nt
Filed under: uncultured bacterium
Lineage: Bacteria
Description: partial 16S ribosomal RNA
Rfam family: Bacterial small subunit ribosomal RNA
Source: RNAcentral